RNAcentral lists this ribosomal RNA (605 nucleotides) under uncultured Bradyrhizobium sp. Its description in RNAcentral is "bacterial SSU rRNA". It matches the Rfam family "Bacterial small subunit ribosomal RNA", at positions 842 to 1533 of the family's 1533-position model. The record is from RNAcentral. Lineage: Bacteria; Pseudomonadati; Pseudomonadota; Alphaproteobacteria; Hyphomicrobiales; Nitrobacteraceae.
GUNGCGCAGGCUAACGCNUUAAGCNUCCCGCNUGGGGAGUACGGUCGCAAGAUUAANACUCNNAGGAAUUGACGGGGGCCCGCACAAGCGGUGGAGCAUGUGGUUCAAUUCGAAGCAACGCGCAGAACCUUACCAACCUUUGACAUCCCGGUCGCGGGCACCAGAGAUGGAGCCCUUCAGUUCGGCUGGACCGGAGACAGGUGCUGCAUGGCUGUCGUCAGCUCGUGUCGUGAGAUGUUGGGUUAAGUCCCGCAACGAGCGCAACCCUCGCCCUUAGUUGCCAUCAUUCAGUUGGGCACUCUAAGGGGACUGCCGGUGAUAAGCCGCGAGGAAGGUGGGGAUGACGUCAAGUCCUCAUGGCCCUUACAGGUUGGGCUACACACGUGCUACAAUGGCGGUGACAGUGGGAUGCAAUGGGGCAACCCUGCGCAAAUCUCAAAAAGCCGUCUCAGUUCGGAUUGCACUCUGCAACUCGAGUGCAUGAAGUUGGAAUCGCUAGUAAUCNCAGAUCAGCAACGCUGCGGUGAAAUACGUNCCCGGGGCCUUGUACACCACCCGCCCCGUCCACAACCCAUUGGGGAAGUUUGGGGUUUUUAACCCUGGAA